UCCUGACAGUGGCAUACUGCUACUGACUUAACCCAGACAGGAGAUAGACAUG
Molecule: non-coding RNA, 52 nt
Filed under: unclassified sequences
Description: Mu-gpT-DE RNA
Rfam family: Mu-gpT-DE RNA
Source: Rfam by way of RNAcentral